Molecule: ribosomal RNA, 497 nt
Filed under: uncultured bacterium
Lineage: Bacteria
Description: partial 16S ribosomal RNA
Rfam family: Bacterial small subunit ribosomal RNA
Source: RNAcentral
GAUGAACGCUGGCGGCGUGCCUAAUACAUGCAAGUCGAGCGAACAGACGAGGAGCUUGCUCCUCUGACGUUAGCGGCGGACGGGUGAGUAACACGUGGAUAACCUACCUAUAAGACUGGGAUAACUUCGGGAAACCGGAGCUAAUACCGGAUAACAUGUUGAACCGCAUGGUUCAACAGUGAAAGACGGUCUUGCUGUCGCUUAUAGAUGGAUCCGCGCCGCAUUAGCUAGUUGGUAAGGUAACGGCUUACCAAGGCAACGAUGCGUAGCCGACCUGAGAGGGUGAUCGGCCACACUGGAACUGAGACACGGUCCAGACUCCUACGGGAGGCAGCAGUAGGGAAUCUUCCGCAAUGGGCGAAAGCCUGACGGAGCAACGCCGCGUGAGUGAAGAAGGUCUUCGGAUCGUAAAACUCUGUUAUUAGGGAAGAACAAAUGUGUAAGUAACUAUGCACGUCUUGACGGUACCUAAUCAGAAAGCCACGGCUAACUACGUG